This 1370-nucleotide ribosomal RNA is filed under the name uncultured bacterium. RNAcentral's name for it is "16S ribosomal RNA". It matches the Rfam family "Bacterial small subunit ribosomal RNA". The record is from RNAcentral.
GUUUGAUCCUGGCUCAGGACGAACGCUGGCGGCGUGCUUAACACAUGCAAGUCGAGCGAUGAAUCUUCUUCGGAAGUGGAUUAGCGGCGGACGGGUGAGUAACACGUGGGUAACCUGCCCUAUAGUGGGGAAUAGCCUUUCGAAAGGAAGAUUAAUACCCCAUAAGAUUGUAGUUCCGCAUGGAACAGCAAUUAAAGGAGCAAUUCGCUAUAGGAUGGACCCGCGGCGCAUUAGCUAGUUGGUGAGGUAACGGCUCACCAAGGCGACGAUGCGUAGCCGACCUGAGAGGGUGAUCGGCCACAUUGGGACUGAGACACGGCCCACACUCCUACGGGAGGCAGCAGUGGGGAAUAUUGCACAAUGGGGGAAACCCUGAUGCACCACCGCCGCGUGAGUGAUGACUGUCUUCGGAUUGUAAAGCUCUGUCUUCAGGGACGAUAAUGACGGUACCUGAGGAGGAAGCCACGGCUAACUACGUGCCAGCAGCCGCGGUAAUACGUAGGUGGCAAGCGUUGUCCGGAUUUACUGGGCGUAAAGGGAGCGUAGGCGGACUUUUAAGUGGGAUGUGAAAUACCCGGGCUUAACCUGGGUGCUGCAUUCCAAACUGGGAGUCUAGAGUGCAGGAGGGGAAAGUGGAAUUUCCAGUGUAGCGGUGAAAUGCGUAGAGAUAAAGAAGAACCCCGGUGGCGAAGGCGACUUUCUGGACUGAUACUGACGCUGAGGCUCGAAAGCGUGGGGAGCGAACAAGAAUAGAUACCCUGGUACUCCACCCCAUAAACAAUGAAUACUAGGGUGAAGGGGGUGGCCUGAACCUCUGUGCCCCCGCUAACCCAUAUAAUAAUCCCCCCGGGGAGUACGGUCGCAAGAUUAAAACUCAAAGGAAUUGACGGGGGCCCGCACAAGCAGCGGAGCAUGUGGUUUAAUUCGAAGCAACGCGAAGAACCUUACCUAGACUUGACAUCUCCUGCAUUACCCUUAAUCGGGGAAGUUCCUUCGGGGACAGGAAGACAGGUGGUGCAUGGUUGUCGUCAGCUCGUGUCGUGAGAUGUUGGGUUAAGUCCCGCAACGAGCGCAACCCCUAUUGUUAGUUGCUACCAUUUAGUUGAGCACUCUAGCGAGACUGCCCGGGUUAACCGGGAGGAAGGUGGGGAUGACGUCAAAUCAUCAUGCCCCUUAUGUAUAGGGCUACACACGUGCUACAAUGGCCGGUACAAUUAGAAGCUAAGCCGCGAGGUGGAGCAAAACUGAAAAACCGGUCUCAGUUCGGAUUGUAGGCUGAAACUCGCCUACAUGAAGCUGGAGUUGCUAGUAAUCGCGAAUCAGCAUGUCGCGGUGAAUACGUUCCCGGGCCUUGCACACACCGCCCGUCA